This 103-nucleotide transfer RNA is filed under the name Obba rivulosa. It matches the Rfam family "tRNA". Rfam says of the family: Transfer RNA (tRNA) molecules are approximately 80 nucleotides in length. The record is from Rfam by way of RNAcentral. Lineage: Eukaryota; Fungi; Basidiomycota; Agaricomycetes; Polyporales; Gelatoporiaceae.
GCUUGGAUGGCUCAGUUGGUUAGAGCGCAGGUCUCAUACUAGAGUAUGACGGUCGUGUUGGCCGGCAAUCCUGAGGUCGAGGGUUCGACCCCCUCUCCGAGCA